GACAGAGGGUGCGAGCGUUGUUCGGAAUUACUGGGCGUAAAGGGUUCGUAGGUGGCCAACUAAGUCAGACGUGAAAUCCCUCAGCUUAACUGGGGAACUGCGUCUGAGACUGGAUGGCUUGAGUGCAGGAGAGGAACGCGGAAUUCCAGGUGUAGCGGUGAAAUGCGCAGAUAUCAGGGGGAACACCGAUGGCGAAGGCAGCUCGCUGGGACGGUACUGACGCUGAGGCGCGAAAGCGUGGGGAGCAAACAGG
This 253-nucleotide ribosomal RNA is filed under the name uncultured bacterium. RNAcentral describes it as "partial 16S ribosomal RNA". It matches the Rfam family "Bacterial small subunit ribosomal RNA", at positions 524 to 776 of the family's 1533-position model. The record is from RNAcentral.